Molecule: long non-coding RNA, 564 nt
Filed under: Lathyrus oleraceus (garden pea)
Lineage: Eukaryota; Viridiplantae; Streptophyta; Magnoliopsida; Fabales; Fabaceae
Description: Pisum sativum (pea) long non-coding RNA (PSAT_LNC023267)
Source: RNAcentral
UCCACUAAAGACCAUAGAAACCCACUCCACUAAAGAUCAUUAGUUGUCAUUUAAAUAACAGCUUAAAGAGAUAAACCAGACUAGAUUGGAAUAAAAAUAAAAAGGAACUAAAAUAACAAUAAUGAAGGUCUGUUGGUUUACCAACAAAAAACCCAGCCGCCUGGCUGUUGGGUUUCUCAAUGGCAUAUGAAUUGAAAAUGAGAAAAUAUUUAUUAAACUUAGGAAGUUAAAAAUGAAAACUUAGGAAGUUUAAAAACAUAAAAUUUUUUAUGGUUUCAAUGCUUAUCUUUGUUUAAAAAUAAAUUAAAAAAAAGAAAAAGAAAUGGAAACAAAGAACAGACCAUCGUCUUCGUUCUCUCCCAAACGCGUACUCGCUCUCAAUCUCUCUUCUCUCAAUCUCUCGACGAAAUCACGAUAUCUCCAAACUUCACUCACUCCGACUCAGACACUCACUCAUCGCUCAACCUCAGUCGUCGCCUCCAACCUUCACUCUCUCCAUCCCUCAAACGCUCCUCACCUCACGUUUCUCUCAAUCUCUCAACGAAUCUCUCUCACACUCUCAAC